This is a long non-coding RNA of Cryptotermes secundus, 1398 nucleotides long. RefSeq lists it as uncharacterized. Lineage: Eukaryota; Metazoa; Arthropoda; Insecta; Blattodea; Kalotermitidae. The transcript is spliced from 3 exons. The record is from RefSeq and is a predicted model, not a curated record.
ACAGAUUCUCGCCCCGGCUGCUUUACCACCCGGGAAAGCGCCCACUGGUUCCCAUUGAAUAGGAUGUUGGGUGGACCCCAUUGGCAGUCUAAAUGAUAUGGUGAAAGGGAAAUUUUUGUUCCAACAGGGACUCGAACUCUGACCUUUUGGCCGUCCAGGCCGUAGCUAGUCGCUAUCCCAGCCUACAAUACAUUAGUGGUACGCUAUUAAAUUAUACCUUUCCACCGUGAAUUUUGUGUCAACCAUGAAUUCAUACGACAUCCUUUCAUAGAUGCUCACCGAACUAUACUUGCGGGGACAUUAAUUGACAGGUAUGAUAUUUAUUUUGCCAUCCGUGCAUUAUAUGUUGGCAACCAUGGUUUUGAAGGUGAAGGCAGGGUGAGUGUUAGUUUAUGCCAACGUUUUGUAUCAUAAUUGUGUGUGUGAAAUGUAUGGUUGAAUGACGUAAUUUUCGGCAAUAUGCUUUCAUACGAAGAACAAGGUGACAUUGGGCUUAUUUCCAAUGAUGGAAGAUUUCUCAAAUGAAGAAAUGCCUCGGAAUCAGCCUUCUGUGAGGCAUUGGCUGCGAUACAUUGAACACAAGAAGGAGAGUCCUGAACACACUGUUAAUGUUAUCUUUGAAAGAGCCCUGAAGGAGUUACCAGGAAGCUAUAAAUUGUGGUACAGUUAUCUUGGUCUUCGAAGGAGACAAAUCAAGGGACGCUGCAUUACGGAUCCCUCAUAUGAAGAUGUAAAUAAUGCGUUUGAGAGGUCAUUGGUUUUCAUGUAUAAGGUGAGUUUUUUGUGUGUGUGCCGUGUAUGUGUGCGUGCGUGCGUGAAGGUGUGAACUCACAGUUAGAAAUCGAAACUGUAUAUGAAGUUGGAAUUCUGUUCAAAUUUGAAGUCUGAAGAAAAAUGCUGAGUAGGUUUUUAUGUACUAUAGUUUUGUAUUGGCAACAUUCAUUGCACGGCAUUGAUGAAAUUUAACUUCAGUACUUAAUGAAAUGGUUCCAGGCCAUAUUGCCCUGUCUAGAUUAGAAGUAAACUUGAACAAUACCUCGUUCAAUAUCUCCAUAUCAAGAGUACAAACUGGCACAUCUGAUAUAAUACAUUAUUUGCAUGCUUAAAAAAAAAAUAGAAAAUACUAUAAAAAUAAUUGCAAUAUUCUGCAAUAGUAUUUGAAUCUAAUUUGGGACUGCAGGGGCGUGCAGUGGACCACUCACCUCCAUCUAGUGCCAAAUGUGUCAGAUUUAUAGUUGCAAUGUUUUAUUUUCACUGACCAAGCCCCAUAGUGUACUGUCAUGGUGCUGUUAAAUAGUUUAAUGAUGUUUAAAUGUACAGAAUUAUCAGUUGGAAGUGUUCACAGUGGUUCUGAAUUUUCUUGUACACUGCCACAUACACCGUUCAUGUUGAAACAAA